Molecule: non-coding RNA, 182 nt
Filed under: Sporosarcina sp.
Lineage: Bacteria; Bacillati; Bacillota; Bacilli; Caryophanales; Caryophanaceae
Also listed under: 1 other name
Source: RNAcentral
UGUAUCGUACGAUGAAAUGGUACCGAAUACGGUUUAAAAGGGAAUCCGGAAAUCCGGAGCUGUCCCCGCAACUGUGAACGCUAACGAAAGCCUAAAUAAACCACUGUGGAUAAUUCCAUGGGAAGGGAAGGCAAGUAGGAUGAUGCGCAAGCCAGUAGACCUGCCAUUUGAUCGUCAAGCAA